GACGAACGCUGGCGGCGUGCUUAACACAUGCAAGUCGAGCGGUAAGGCCCUUUCGGGGGUACACGAGCGGCGAACGGGUGAGUAACACGUGGGUGACCUGCCCUCAGCUCUGGGAUAAGCCUGGGAAACCGGGUCUAAUACCGGAUAUGACUCCAUGACGCAUGUUGUGGGGUGGAAAGCCUUGUGCGGCUGAGGAUGGGCCCGCGGCCUAUCAGCUUGUUGGUGGGGUGANGGCCUACCAAGGCGACGACGGGUAGCUGGCCUGAGAGGGCGACCGGCCACACUGGGACUGAGACACGGCCCAGACUCCUACGGGAGGCAGCAGUGGGGAAUCUUGCGCAAUGGGCGAAAGCCUGACGCAGCGACGCCGCGUGAGGGAUGACGGCCU
This 388-nucleotide ribosomal RNA is filed under the name uncultured bacterium. Its description in RNAcentral is "bacterial SSU rRNA". It matches the Rfam family "Bacterial small subunit ribosomal RNA", at positions 28 to 417 of the family's 1533-position model. The record is from RNAcentral.